GGGGGCGAAAGGUCUCGACGGGGGUUAUGAGGCUCAGAUGGCAUGCCGUGGCUCCAUCACCACGUAAAAAGAUGGAAAAAACACAAAAGCCAAUAACGAACUGGCACUUGCCGCUUAACUAAAAACGGCACGUCUCUCCGGGUAAGCCUGCGGCCCGGUCUGACGCAGGUAGCGGGCUAAGCUUCCGGGUGGCCUCUUUCCGGAAGACGAAAACCAAAUAAGGGGGAUAGGCGCGGAGAGGGCGCGGCUGUUCGCAGGCUCCGGGCCGAAGCUCUAAAUAGGCAGCCUAAGCAUGUAGAAGUCUGGGAAUAGUACUUUCGGACGCGGGUUCGAUUCCCGCCGCCUCCACCA
Molecule: small RNA, 351 nt
Filed under: Nitrospiraceae bacterium
Lineage: Bacteria; Pseudomonadati; Nitrospirota; Nitrospiria; Nitrospirales; Nitrospiraceae
Also listed under: 1 other name
Description: transfer-messenger RNA
Rfam family: transfer-messenger RNA
About the family: Bacterial tmRNA, also known as 10Sa RNA or SsrA, is named for its dual tRNA and mRNA-like properties. Its role is to liberate the mRNA from a stalled ribosome.
Source: RNAcentral